AGGGGAGUAGCUCAAUUGGCAGAGCGGCGGUCUCCAAAACCGUAGGUUGCGGGAUCGAGUCCUGUCCCCCCUGCCA
Molecule: transfer RNA, 76 nt
Filed under: Bacillota bacterium
Lineage: Bacteria; Bacillati; Bacillota
Description: Firmicutes bacterium (anaerobic digester metagenome) tRNA-Trp
Rfam family: tRNA
About the family: Transfer RNA (tRNA) molecules are approximately 80 nucleotides in length. Their secondary structure includes four short double-helical elements and three loops (D, anti-codon, and T loops).
Source: RNAcentral